CCAAGUUCCGUGAAUUACAGGUUAGAGAACACUCUUCUAGCAAGCUCCCCAUUCCCUUACUCAGGCUCAAGAUCUAUCACCUGUACCUGGGAACCUGGGUGAAGAAGCCUGUCCAGGUGGUUCUUUGUACCUGGGGGUAUCUGACCCUCCCUGAUUCCUUUCCACCUUCCAUAUGCUCCCCUCUGACUCACUUCUGUUGUAGCCAAGAGGGCAAUUGUGGAGAGGUUGUUUAAAACAACCUCUCACACACACCAAACCCUAUAAUCAUCCAAAGUGGUCAUUUGAUCUACGUGGGAAGGCAUGCACUCCCGUCGGCUUCCAGGCACCAGGAAGUGACACCAGCAAGCAAGGAAGCCACACCACUAAUAGGAAUAACUGCCAUCUGUCACAGGAUGCCUGCUGGUCACCAGGCAUUUCACAUGCACCGUAUCAUUAGUCUUCACAGCAAACCCUGAGGGAGGCCUUACAGGCUGUGUGUUAUAGAUGAAGGAACGAGGGUCAGCAAGGUGAAGGAACUUGCCCACAUCCUCCACAGCUACUAGGUGGCAGCGCUGGGAUUCUAGCCAGGUAUGUCUGACUUGGGAGCCUGGGCCCUGGCCAUUCAGCCAGGCUGACACCCAAUUUGAUAUAGUCAUUUGAAGAACACAGAAAGUAACAACAGUGAAUUUUGAGUCAUAAAGACUGAAGGACCCCCAUUCAAUAGAGACUUUGUUCAGGGCCUCAGAAGCCCUGUAGAUGUUUUUGAAUAGUAGGUUAUUCUCUUUUCUCUGGCAAAAUUCAGCAAGUGUUUACUGCGGACCUGCUAUGUGCUAGGAAAUGUGCUGGGUUCCUAAAACACACAAUAAUAUUCAAUAUUGUUCUUCAGAACUCCAAGUCUGACUACCACUUAUAACGUUGACUGUGUGACCCUGGGAAAGUUAGUUACCAGUCUUGUACCCUCACUUUCUUAUCUGUGUUCUGUAUGUCAUAAAUAGCUGAGAUAAAUGUAUCAAACAACUAGCCCAGCGCAUGACCUAGGAUAGGUGUGUGAUCUCUGGUAUUAGAAGCAGUUGCAAUUACCAUGAUUGUUUUCCUUGCUUGGUCCACACAAUCCCUUCCCCAUGGUCUUUCCUUUAUCCCCAUCAGCCUAAGGAUCCAGCCCACUUGCUUCUCCUCUCCCCAGUAAGCCACCUGAGGUUCCCUGGGCUUCCUUUCAUCCCCCAUGGUAUGUGAAAAACAG
RNAcentral lists this long non-coding RNA (1219 nucleotides) under Homo sapiens (human). RNAcentral describes it as "HSALNT0379010". The record is from RNAcentral. Lineage: Eukaryota; Metazoa; Chordata; Mammalia; Primates; Hominidae.